AGCAGCAUGAAAGGCUUAUUUUUUCCAGAACAUAGUUUAAUAGACUUAAUAAGUUUAAACGACCCAUAAAUCUGGUGCUUUAUUCUGUCUUUUAUCUGCUGGGUCAUUAAAAUCUAUAGACUUUAGUGUCCUAUCUUGUCAUGUAUUAGUGACGUAUGGAAUCAUUUGGAGUCAAUGGGAAGAUUAAUAGCCAAAAAUGUUAGAAGAUCAUGCCUGUUUAGACCUCUAUGUUGUACGGACCAGCAGGUUUGUAAUGAUGUUGUCACUGUUCCUUGUUCUCAACUGUUGUAUUAAGCAAGUACUACCAUGGGGAUGUGGGGUGGGACUAGUCCAAAUGUUGUAGUUACUAGUUACUAGAGUUAGCAAGCAGAGGAAUUGGUAAUGGUGAUGCGUUCUCAACUUCUUAUGUGUGCUUGUCGUUGGAUCGUCCAUCAGUUUUUAGACGUACAAAACAUAUCACCUCAUUGACGUCCAUUGCUGCGAGUACAGUACAGUGGUCGGCCGGUUCCAAGUUUACAAACAGCAAGGAGUACUAGUGAGUAGGUGACAUUAGCAGUACAAACCCUUAAACCUGCAACUAAGCACGACAGAGAGUAGGGGCGGAGCUCAGGCCCGUCCAUCUCGGUUAGGUGGAAGAAAUGGCCGGCAUAUGUGUUUCUUUCAUGCUUUACUGCAUCCUGCAUUUUUAUUUUGUUGCACUGGCACGACUGCCUGGCACUGGCACCCCGCGUACUGAUCUGAUGCUGUAAUAGCAAUUAGCAUGCGUUCAGAUUAGUUAGGAUAGGGAGCUGAGCUCGCUGCCAACAAGGUCAAUACUAGCAUCCAUUUUUUUGCAAACUAGGACACAAUCAGGUGAAAAGCUUGAGCUGCAUUCUUUGUCUAUUUAACUUUACUAGUUCUGUUUGUUUCAUGGUAUGCUGUUAUUUACAAGUAAGC
This 936-nucleotide long non-coding RNA is filed under the name Zea mays. RNAcentral describes it as "drought responsive lncRNA". Lineage: Eukaryota; Viridiplantae; Streptophyta; Magnoliopsida; Poales; Poaceae. The record is from RNAcentral.